This 202-nucleotide unclassified non-coding RNA is filed under the name Hevea brasiliensis (rubber tree). Lineage: Eukaryota; Viridiplantae; Streptophyta; Magnoliopsida; Malpighiales; Euphorbiaceae. The record is from RNAcentral.
AGAAAAGCGGGUCUGCGGCGGCAAAGCCAAGGCGGUGAGAGGCGGAGCUGCGGAGGCGAAUUGAGGAAGAGGAAGUGGUGGAUGGGGAAAAUUGAAGAAGGGCAGAACGGGUUGAAGAAGUGGAAGAGGAUGUGGUGGGAAGGAGAUGGAAAGUGGCACGGGAAGCUGCAGACGCCAUUGAUGAUGGUGCAAAGGAGAGGAG